RNAcentral lists this transfer RNA (71 nucleotides) under Kitasatospora sp. MAP12-15. Its description in RNAcentral is "tRNA-Ser". It matches the Rfam family "tRNA". Rfam says of the family: Transfer RNA (tRNA) molecules are approximately 80 nucleotides in length. Their secondary structure includes four short double-helical elements and three loops (D, anti-codon, and T loops). Further hydrogen bonds mediate the characteristic L-shaped molecular structure. tRNAs have two regions of fundamental functional importance: the anti-codon, which is responsible for specific mRNA codon recognition, and the 3' end, to which the tRNAs corresponding amino acid is attached (by aminoacyl-tRNA synthetases). tRNAs cope with the degeneracy of the genetic code in two manners: having more than one tRNA (with a specific anti-codon) for a particular amino acid; and 'wobble' base-pairing, i.e. permitting non-standard base-pairing at the 3rd anti-codon position. RNAcentral also lists the same sequence under 3 other names. Lineage: Bacteria; Bacillati; Actinomycetota; Actinomycetes; Kitasatosporales; Streptomycetaceae. The record is from RNAcentral.
CACCUUUCGGCUAACUGGAAAGCCGCCCGGCAGCUAGUCGGGUAAUGCGGGUUCGAGUCCCGCAAGGUGCG